Molecule: long non-coding RNA, 769 nt
Filed under: Arachis ipaensis
Lineage: Eukaryota; Viridiplantae; Streptophyta; Magnoliopsida; Fabales; Fabaceae
Description: long non-coding RNA (AIPA_LNC000350)
Source: RNAcentral
GAUUUGCAUUUAUUCUAUUCGAGCAAACAUAUUGACGAGCGAUGUCUCUGGUAGACAUAGAAAAUCGGUGACUAAGGUGCUAGGAGGGAAAUUCAUUACAACAUGUGGCAGGUCAUAGAGUAGAACGCCGAAAAAUUUGAAGUUUUAAACCCAUUUGACAAUGGUAAAUUGGUUAAUGAAAGUGCAGAUUUGGAUCAAUAAACAAAAGUAUUAAACAUUUUUUUUUAUUGUACACAAAAAAAAAAAAAAGAAAACAAAAGAAACAGAUAAAAGAAAGAAAAAUGGAGAGAACAGAAGAAGGAAGCUAGGCUGCGUCGUUUAGCAGAACCUGCUGGAGACGAGCGGUGGGCUCCGACCACACCUCUUCUUCUUCACACUGAGCUCCAUGAUUUGCCAGGAAACCCGCAGCCCAAUUAGCUUCUCUAGAGACCAACACAAAGCUCACAUUCCAGAUCCCACCUUGCUUAAGCUCAUUGCAGCACUAUCAUUUCAGCAUGAACCUCAGGCAACUUCCAACUCUAAAUCAGUACAAGGACAUUUGCCGAGUCCAUCUCGCAAACCACUACCGGGCUCCACAUUUGCUGGGUCACUGGAAGCCCCUUCGUUGUAGCAUUCGGUGGGAACUUGGUCGCAGACUUCGUUUCAAGGAGGAGCAGGGGAGAUCGUUUGCGGCAUUGAACGUUGUGCUCGACUCACCUAUGCCACGUGUUAUGACAUCAUUUGCGGCUCAAAAUAUAGUCACUGUUAGCCACUAGAAAACGGAAUUGUC